RNAcentral lists this ribosomal RNA (464 nucleotides) under uncultured bacterium. Its description in RNAcentral is "partial 16S ribosomal RNA". It matches the Rfam family "Bacterial small subunit ribosomal RNA", at positions 339 to 795 of the family's 1533-position model. The record is from RNAcentral.
CUACGGGACGCUGCAGUGAGGAAUUUUGCGCAAUGGGGGAAACCCUGACGCAGCAACGCCGCGUGAGCGAAGAAGGCCUUCGGGUCGUAAAGCUCUGUCAAGUGGGAAAAAAAUUCUUUGAUGAACAGUCAAAGGACUUGAUGGUACCACUGGAGGAAGCACCGGCUAACUCCGUGCCAGCAGCCGCGGUAAUACGGAGGGUGCAAGCGUUGUUCGGAAUUACUGGGCGUAAAGAGCGUGUAGGCGGUUUGACAAGUCAGAUGUGAAAGCCCCGGGCUCAACCCGGGAAGUGCAUUUGAAACUGUUUCACUAGAGUAUGGGAGAGGAGAUUGGAAUUCCUGGUGUAGAGGUGAAAUUCGUAGAUAUCAGGAGGAACACCCGUGGCGAAGGCGAUUCUCUGGACCAAUACUGACGCUGAGACGCGAAAGCGUGGGGAGCAAACAGGAUUAGAUACCCUGGUAGUC